GAAAACCAACAACUUUUCUUUUGUGUGUGGGGUUACUUUCCACUGGCCCCCCCUUCCUCCUCUCCUUUCAAGAUUUAAAUGCUAAUGGCGGAUUAAAACCUGUAGAUACGUUUGGCUUUAGGAGUCUGGCGCAUUGGAGUGACUGUCUGGUAUCACCAAGAUGACACUCCACACCACCCGGGGGUCUGCACUCCUCUCUUGGGUGAACAGUCUGCACGUGGCUGACCCUGUGGAGGCUGUGCUGCAGCUCCAGGACUGCAGCAUCUUCAUCAAGAUCAUUGACAGAAUCCAUGGCACUGAAGAGGGACAGCAAAUCUUGAAGCAGCCGGUGUCAGAGAGACUGGACUUUGUGUGCAGUUUUCUGCAGAAAAAUCGAAAACAUCCCUCUUCUCCAGAAUGCCUGGUGUCUGCACAGAAGGUGCUAGAGGGAUCAGAGCUGGAACUGGCGAAGAUGACCAUGCUGCUCUUAUACCACUCUACCAUGAGCUCCAAAAGUCCCAGGGACUGGGAACAGUUUGAAUAUAAAAUUCAGGCUGAGUUGGCUGUCAUUCUUAAAUUUGUGCUGGACCAUGAGGACGGGCUAAACCUUAAUGAGGACCUAGAGAACUUCCUACAGAAAGCUCCUGUGCCUUCUACCUGUUCUAGCACAUUCCCUGAAGAGCUCUCCCCACCUAGCCACCAGGCCAAGAGGGAGAUUCGCUUCCUAGAGCUACAGAAGGUUGCCUCCUCUUCCAGUGGGAACAACUUUCUCUCAGGUUCUCCAGCUUCUCCCAUGGGUGAUAUCCUGCAGACCCCACAGUUCCAGAUGAGACGGCUGAAGAAGCAGCUUGCUGAUGAGAGAAGUAAUAGGGAUGAGCUGGAGCUGGAGCUGGCUGAGAACCGCAAGCUCCUCACCGAGAAGGAUGCACAGAUAGCCAUGAUGCAGCAGCGCAUUGACCGCCUAGCCCUGCUGAAUGAGAAGCAGGCGGCCAGCCCACUGGAGCCCAAGGAGCUUGAGGAGCUGCGUGACAAGAAUGAGAGCCUUACCAUGCGGCUGCAUGAAACCCUGAAGCAGUGCCAGGACCUGAAGACAGAGAAGAGCCAGAUGGAUCGCAAGAUCAACCAGCUUUCGGAGGAGAAUGGAGACCUUUCCUUUAAGCUGCGGGAGUUUGCCAGUCAUCUGCAGCAGCUACAGGAUGCCCUCAAUGAGCUGACGGAGGAGCACAGCAAGGCCACUCAGGAGUGGCUAGAGAAGCAGGCCCAGCUGGAGAAGGAGCUCAGCGCAGCCCUGCAGGACAAGGUAACCCUCUGCUGGGGUCACAGCCACAGUCUUGACCACAUGUGCAAAGCUGAGUCCAGUUUACCACUGUGCUCUUCUGGGCCUUUGGGUAUUAAGUUGCUUUCUCUUCAAGGUUCAAUAGUGUGCUGUAAUUGAAAGAUUGUGGGCUUCAGUCUAGUACACCUUUUUUUUUUUUAACUUAUUUUUUUUUUCCCCAGUCAAUGCCCUCACUUUAUAGUACACCUUUCAAUCCUGUCUCUGCUGUUUACAAGAUGUGGAUCUUGGACAAGUUAAUCAGUCUGUUUUUCUAAGCAUCCUUUCCCUAAAAUGGGAGUAGUAACGAGUAGCUGCCUCAUCACCUAUUAUGAGAAAAUGUACGUAAAGCACUUCACACAUCGUGUAGUGUAAAGUAAGCUCUCAGUGAACCAGU
RNAcentral lists this small RNA (1688 nucleotides) under Pongo abelii (Sumatran orangutan). RNAcentral's name for it is "processed transcript". Lineage: Eukaryota; Metazoa; Chordata; Mammalia; Primates; Hominidae. The record is from RNAcentral.